Molecule: non-coding RNA, 876 nt
Organism: Manis javanica (Malayan pangolin)
Lineage: Eukaryota; Metazoa; Chordata; Mammalia; Pholidota; Manidae
Source: RefSeq, a predicted model, not a curated record
UCCCGGGGCUCUCCGCCCUCGGGGCCCCCCUGACCCACCCCAGGGCGGGCUGAUCUCCCCUUGGGGGGUCGGAGUCAAGAAUGAGCGCGUCAACUGGGGCAUAUUAACACGUAGGAAAACACACCAGCACCUGGAGAAACAGGAGCUGGGACCGGGGGAGGGCGGCCGGGGCCUUGGAAGUCAGAGCCCGAAAGGAGCGAUAAUUCACCCGAGCGUCCGCGGCCUCCCGCCCGCUCCCCACCCCCGCGCCCGGCCUCCGGUUUCAAAGGCGGACAAACAGCGCGCGGUGCCGGUCCCGGCUCCUCGCUAAAUCUCCCUGUCUUCAACUUCUUGUAACUUGAGCCGCCAGAGCUGCCCCUCCCUCGGAGGCCGGACGGGCAGGGAAGCAAGCCAAGCAGAUCGCCUGGUGAAGAGCAUUCUAAGCAGAGGGAACAGCAAAGGCAGAAUGCUGCAUCCCUCCGGUAUUCAAUCUCAGACAGCCCCAGAGUGACCCGUAGAAUGUGGCAAAAGUAAUACUGUGUGACUUCCAAGACUAGGCCAGAAAAAACUUUCCUGCCUGGGCCCUCUUGACAGGUUCACUGUCCAGCACCAGGGCAGAAGUCCAACCACCCUGAGCCCACCACACUCUGAGGAAGCCCAAGCUAGCCACAUGGAGCAGCCACAAGGAGAGAGAAAAAAGAUACUUGGCCAAGCACCCAGCUGAGCUGCCAGAUACAGGAGUGAGGAAGAUAGCCUGGACAUGCCCCCCCAGUCAGCCCCAUCCCAGCAGCCACCUAACUGGAGCCCCCAAGAAACCCCAAGCAAGAACCACCCAGCUGAGCCCAGUCAGCACACAGAACUAGGACAGAUAAAAAUGAAUUUUCAACCGAAAGUUUU